AUACGGAGGGUGCAAGCGUUAAUCGGAAUUACUGGGCGUAAAGGGCGCGUAGGUGGUUAGAUCAGUCGGAUGUGAAAGCCCCGGGCUCAACCUGGGAAUGCCAUUCGAUACUGUCUGACUAGAGUAUGGUAGAGGGAAGCGGAAUUCCGGGUGUAGCGGUGAAAUGCGUAGAUAUCCGGAGGAACACCAGUGGCGAAGGCGGCUUCCUGGACAGACACUGACGCUGAGGCGCGAAAGCUAGGGGAGCAAACGGGAUUAGAAACCCCAGUAGUCC
RNAcentral lists this ribosomal RNA (274 nucleotides) under uncultured bacterium. RNAcentral's name for it is "partial 16S ribosomal RNA". It matches the Rfam family "Bacterial small subunit ribosomal RNA", at positions 523 to 796 of the family's 1533-position model. The record is from RNAcentral.